Molecule: long non-coding RNA, 1279 nt
Organism: Zingiber officinale
Lineage: Eukaryota; Viridiplantae; Streptophyta; Magnoliopsida; Zingiberales; Zingiberaceae
Exons: 2
Source: RefSeq, a predicted model, not a curated record
AUCAGGUUAUCGUUAAACAUUUCGAUCAACGGCUAUAUAUAAUUCUCUCUUUAGUUAAACAAUUUUUUAUUAAACAGACGAGAUCUAAUUUAAGGUACCGAUCAACGGCCGAUUCAUUAUUUUUCAACGGACGGGAUCAGAUCAGGUUAUCGUCCAACAUUUCGAUCAACGGCUGUAUAUAAUUCUCUCUUUAGUUAUUAUGUCAAACUCUAGGGUUGUCUCGCCGCCGGCCGUUUUGGAGAUCUUUCAAGAAAUUUUCUCUCUGUUUUUUCUUCGAAAUGGUUCAAAUCCCACUCUCAACAGGUUUUUUAUUAAACGGACGAGUUCUAAUUCAAGGUACCGAUCAACGGCCGGAUCAUUAUUUUUUCAACGGACGAUAUCAGAUCAGGUUAUCGUUAAACAUUUCGAUCAACGGCUAUAUAUAAUUCUCUCUUUAGUUAAACAAUUUUUUAUUAAACAGACGAGAUCUAAUUUAAGGUACCGAUCAACGGCCGAUUCAUUAUUUUUCAACGGACGGGAUCAGAUCAGGUUAUCGUCCAACAUUUCGAUCAACGGCUGUAUAUAAUUCUCUCUUUAGUUAUUAUGUCAAACUCUAGGGUUGUCUCGCCGCCGGCCGUUUUGGAGAUCUUUCAAGAAAUUUUCUCUCUGUUUUUUCUUCGGAAAUGGUUCUUCCCAAUCUUCUCGACCUCGACGCCGUCGACAGCCACUCCUAAUUCGACGCCACCAUUCGUUCUUUCUUCUCCGACGGCUACUACUGUCGCCUUCCCAGACUCGUCGAUCCUGUCGCGGGAUAAAAUCGGGCCCGCUCUUCCCACUACCGACGGCGCCGCCGAGUUCCUUCCGGUACUUCCUGAACUGGAAACGUCGCCGGAUUACCGCAGCCGCUACCGCCGUCGUUCGACGUGCAGAGUAAGGCCGGCGAUGACUUGUCGGCGCAGGUCGGAUUGCUGGGCCUCACGGUGCAUACUUUCCUUGCUCCCGUAAAAUCUUCCUAAAUCCACUGAUUCAUCUAAAUGAAUAGAGAAUCAGAUGUUCCCAGAGAUGGAGCAAAAGCUUCAGGUUGUAAACAUUCAGAAGUAAAAGCCCGCCAGAAAUGGAAUGAUCCUGAGUAGAGGAGAGUAGUGGAAUGAUAAUGAGUAGAGGAGAGAGCUGUCCCAAUGUAAUUAUAAUGUGCCACUCUUUUCUUCAUCAGAGUCUCAUGGUUCCUCCAGGUGGCUGGAGGCGUUCAAAUGUGAAAUUCACUAUGGAAGUGGAAUGCUACGAGUUGAAUUUAAGAUCA